Rosa chinensis is the source of this 640-nucleotide long non-coding RNA. RefSeq lists it as uncharacterized. The record is from RefSeq and is a predicted model, not a curated record. NCBI's taxonomy places the organism in Eukaryota, Viridiplantae, Streptophyta, Magnoliopsida, Rosales, Rosaceae. The transcript has 4 exons.
UUACUGUUGCAGCAGUAAGUACUAGAAUUUUCAGAUUUUUUGUUUCUUUUGUUCUUUUGCAUUUGAUGGACUUUCUUGUGAUCGUUUUAGUACUCAAUUUUCGGUUUAACAAUGAUGAUUGGAGGAAUGAUUGGUGCAUUAGUAAAUGGGACGCUAAAAGAGAUGUAGUGGUUAUUGUCUAAUAAUCCAGGUUGUCGGUUUUUACCACUUUCAAAGAAAUUCAUUUCCAUUAUCAAGCCAAGGAAGUCAUGCACACUACCUGUUUGAUGAAAGUUCCAGUCGUAGCUCUUCGAGAUAUUUACAAGACCCUGAACCAACUGCCACAAUUGAGGCACUGGAGCAUAAUUGUCGUCUCUUCUGCUGUUUUGAAAUCAUGAAUGAUGAAUUUGAUUUACAGAGCAUGAAAAUGUUGAAAGUAAGAGCUGCCCUUGAGGAAAAAUUGAAGCAGAAGGGUAUCUUCAAUUCCAUCACUCCAAGAACUGAUAGACCCCAGAAACAUCUGAAACCAUUAAAUGGGAAGCUGAAUCGUAUGAUGAUUUUGAUGAUGACCCUGUAAAUGUUGAAGGCGCUAACCAGGCUCAUGCAAGUUCAUUGGGUGCAAGUAAAGUUUCCCAAUUUGUUGCUGCUAAUCGACAUAAGU